CGUUGGUGUUGGAGCCCACGUUGAAGAUGACCACGGCGGAGGCGUUCUGCAGGAACGCGUUCCGGAUCUUAUCCCUCAGCGACCCCUUCCGGGUCUCAAAUUCAACCUAAUCUGCGACUUGGUCCAGGUGGAGGCAAAAGGGGAAGCGACCCCUUGACCUAUGAAGAGAGGAACAACUUCCUGCGUCUCAAAUAGAAAGGUGGAAGAGAGAAUCCAGGAGUGCUGCUCUAGGAAAAUCAUCCACUUGGAAAUAUGAUCCUUUCUUUAGCCUGGCCUACCUCCACCGCUGCCUGAGCGAUCCGGUAAAACACAGCCGGUGGCGUCACUCCUUUGCUCAAAAGCCCCCAGCGGUACUCCAUCUCAUUUAGGGUAAAAGGCAAAGCUUUGAGAACAGCCUAUCCACAUGACAC
Molecule: non-coding RNA, 410 nt
Organism: Kogia breviceps (pygmy sperm whale)
Lineage: Eukaryota; Metazoa; Chordata; Mammalia; Artiodactyla; Physeteridae
Source: RefSeq, a predicted model, not a curated record